This is a non-coding RNA of Mycena leptocephala, 97 nucleotides long. The record is from the annotation of a GenBank genome assembly. NCBI's taxonomy places the organism in Eukaryota, Fungi, Basidiomycota, Agaricomycetes, Agaricales, Mycenaceae.
GACCUGAUAGCACAGUUGGUUAGUGUGUCUGUUGAAUUUACCUCCCUUUCGGAACAUUUGUUAAUGGACAAUCCCGGUUCGAAUCCGGGUCAGGUCA